AUGGUUGGUUCCCAAGUCUUCAAAGAAAUUAUUGAAAUUUUUUUUUUAAAAAAACUCAUGUCAUCUAGCUUUUGUUACAAUCUCUCAACAAGCAGUUCAAGAUGUUCAUGAUACUUGGUUACCAUGUAAAUAUCAGCAUGUGGGUCCAUAACUCAUGCUAUGAAUUAGUUUGCACCAAAGAGCCUCACAACAAGAGCCAGAUUUACAUCCACAGAUCAGCCAGAUUUAUACAAGCACACUCUUAAUCCUCUCUCAAUUUAAGUAGUUUUCUUAUCCACCCAAACAUGCAUGCAUACUGAACUCUAUAUAUAUAUAAAUUAAAAAGAAGCUUACUGGAAAAGCAUAAGCAUAACAAGAUAAUUGUAACAAGUGAGAGGUGCUGAAACUUAGAUGAAGAGGUUCUCACAUUGAGGUUGAGUGGAGAAAUUAAUUCAUCCUCCUCUUUUACAGUUGCACUUUCACUCUCUCUCACUAACAAAAACUGCUUAAAGAUGAAAGAACUCAAGAAGAGCAUGACUAAGAGAAA
Molecule: long non-coding RNA, 526 nt
Filed under: Elaeis guineensis (African oil palm)
Lineage: Eukaryota; Viridiplantae; Streptophyta; Magnoliopsida; Arecales; Arecaceae
Description: long non-coding RNA (EGUI_LNC077109)
Source: RNAcentral